GAAGCUUGUAGGACCACAAACUUCGUUGUUCUUUUUAUAUAAGGAAAAUUCAUAUUCUCUCGCAGUCUUGUAUUCCAUUCCACAAAAAAAGAGAAGCUUCAAGAAGAUUAAACUGACCAUAUUCUGAAGUUGAUUUUUCAUGGUUUCCCUCUCUCAACUUCCAACCCAUCGUGAGUUGUCGAUUGAGGGGAGGUAUGUGCCUACAAAGACUGUCAAAGAAGAACUACUGCAAAUAUGUCUUCCUGUUUUCAACAAUGAUCAGUCGAGUCAGAGACUUCAAAAAUGCACCAGAGAUGGGUCGUCGAAGUUUGGCCGUACAAGGAGAUGGGUCGUCGUGGCUGCUUGGGGAGCUAUCGGGGGGACUGGUUUGCACCAGAUUCUAGGGCAAUUAAGAUUGAAGGGGGGAAAAUAGGACAAAUUUCAGCAGAUUGAGGGGGGUGGGAGGGAUUGGGUUAGGGACCGUCACCACUGGGAGAUGGAUUGCUAAAACUUGACGAGAAUGUUGCGUGCUGUACGGGGUGGAUUCGUGGAGAUGGUCGACUCUACAGGCUUCUUUGCUCGUCGGCGACAAGGAUGGGUCGCUGCUACCGGAGAUGGUGCAGACUUCUUUGCUCGUUGGGGAAGAAGACGAUGGUGGGGAUCGACGCCCUAAAGCUUUCUUUGCUCCUCAGCAGCUACUGGUGGAUACAACUCCGGGAAGCCGACCACAAUGAACUCGAGCUUACAAGGGGAGCACGUGCAGCCACCACAGCAACUCGGGAAAGGGGCCGAGGGUCCCGGAUAUGAGCAACGACUCCUAUUAUGACAGCAAGACGCCACGGACAACAGCAGUGAACUCCCCACGCCCGACAACUGCAAUAACCUGCAAAAUACCUCAAGAAACUCGUGGAAGCUGCAUGGCAACUCGAGGAACAAAGGAAAAGCCCGCAGCACUGGAAGAGAUAGCAGGACUGUGGUUCAGGCAAAGCAAGCAGUGGCCACGGGAGCUUCAAGACGAUGCAGUCGUGGGGGAAAGUGAGGGAAAGAGGAGACGGAAAUGCUGGUGAUAGUUGUAAGAAGGAGUUGAGGUGGUCCCGGUCUGUUGGCUACGGUUGAGGGAAGAAGGAUGAGGGUUAUGGACGCAGGUGUCUUGGUCAGGAAAGGAAACAAGAAAUAAGAGAGGGCCGGGUGGUCUCUGGUCUGUGAGGUGUUCAGAGGGAGAGACGGUGAGGAAAACGAGAGGUUGAGGUUCGAAGUCGCUGUGAACUGAGAGGGGGAAUGGUGAGAGAACGAGAGAGUCCAGGGAGCGUUUUUUCUGAGCUGAGGGGAAGUGUGUCUCAAAAGGAGAGUGAGUGAGAGGUCUGUUGAGGGAGUCGGGUUGAGUUGAGGGAAAGAGAGGUGGAGCCGAGAGUUCGAACGUGAGCUGAGGGGAGGAUCUGAGGAGAGAAUGAGACGUGAGCAGAUGGGAUGGACGAGCUGUGGAACAGAGCAAGAACUGAGCGAGUUCAGCUAAGGGUGUGAGCUCGGGGAGACUCGGUUGAGCUGCGGGAGAGGUUUGUGAGCUGAGGGUCCCGUCUCUGGUCUGUUCUGUCCCCUUUUUCUUUCUGUUCCGUCCUUUUUUCAUUUUUUUCUGUUCUGUUCAUCCGUCCCCUGCUGUCUGUGUCCUCUGUGUGCCCGAGGAUGAGGACCCGAGAGAGAGAGAGAGAGAGAGAGAGAGAGAGAGAACCGUGUGUUACAGAGGUCACGGGUCCAAGGAAACGUGAGGGGAAAGGGAGCAGAAGCCAUCAGAAGCUGCAGAGGAAAGCUGAGCUCGGGUGUAACCGAGAAGAAGAAGAGAAAAGGGAUGAACUGACCAGCAGAGGAGGAGAUACAGAGAGGGCGCAAGUCUGUCCAGAGACGGAAGAGAAAAUGGUAGAUGACGAUGGCGUCUGGACGGAUUGCAGAAGAAAAAGAAAGAAGAAAGAAAGAGGAAAGGAGGGUCGACAGUGAAGAAGAACCGAAGAGCAGGGGAAGGAGAGGAAAAGGAAAAAAUAAAAAAUAAAAGAAAGAAAAAGAGAGGGCGGGAAGAAACCGAAGAAGGUUUGACCCGUCUGUUGACCACCCUUUUUUUAUUUAAAUAUUCGUACGGACGUUCAUGGGUCGAUAAAUCGAUUUUUCAAGAUCCGUCGACAUUUUCGAAAUGAGGAUUUUGAGGUCAAGAAAUUCAAGAAAUACUCAACUCCA
Non-coding RNA from Punica granatum (pomegranate), 2202 nucleotides. NCBI's taxonomy places the organism in Eukaryota, Viridiplantae, Streptophyta, Magnoliopsida, Myrtales, Lythraceae. The record is from RefSeq and is a predicted model, not a curated record.